UGACAUUCCUUAGCUUCAUCUGGCUGGGAAGCAUAGGACAUUAUCACCAAAUAACCCUGGUCUGUGUGCCUUUAUUUUAUUGCCUCUCUUUUAUGGUCAUGUUACCUAUAAUAGUCUAAGCCAGCAGGUGAUUUAACCAAGGAUCUCUACAUAAUAGGACCUUAGGCUAGGAUGAAAGUGCCGCGUCUCACUUUGAACCUCACAAAACUGAGGCGGCAAAAUGGGAAAAGUGGAAGCGAGGCAAAGAAGAGCGCAAAGUCCCAGGCAGUGAGGCCUGACCAUGCUGGCUGCCCCUUCACUGCGGGUCAUGAAGAGACACGGCCCCUUGCUCGGGGGGUACUGGGCUUGCCCGGGAGACAUUCCUAACGGCCAUAAGGAAAAGCCAUGAAUCAGAGCGGGUCGGCCUGGUUCCGUCUGGCCUCCUAUUUCCCAUCAGUCAGCUACCUUCAACUUCUGGAUUCCAUUUCGUCAUCCGGGCUCUUCCACGGCUGCUGGGGUGCCGCGUCUCAUUCCCUUCAAGCCUGGAAGUGGGGGCAGGAAUCAGAGGCUCCAGGCGUGGGCUGGUCAUUGUGACUGUUCUAGAGGGCCCAGCGCAAGUGACUGGCCGGUCCCAGGCAGCAAAGAUCCCAGCGCUCCAGAAGCAGAUCACACACCCUGCUGCCGCGCAUACCUUUCCCUGCUCUCACCCACGUGAGGGGCUGUCUUGGUCAUGAGUGACUCAAAGAUCGGAGGCACUUGAGGAUCUGGUUGUCUGGAAGGUGUUCAUUCUGAGUCUCAUCUGAUGACUCCAGCCUGAUGUUUUCAGUUAUUUUAAACUGCAGCUUUUGUUUGAACAAUCUCAAUCUAAGGAAAUACUGCAAGGCCUGGUUCUAGAAAGAAACAUUUGUUUUCAUUUCUUCCAUGAACUCCAGUACUAUUAAUCUGAGACCUCAUCCGUUCAUUCAUUAUUUUAUGUCUAAAGAACCAAUCAGAGAGUAAAAGUUCAAAUACUAAACCUGUCCAAAGAUAUGCUUAUGGUUUUAAUUUCUCAAGGGAAUUAUUUCUCUCUUCAGAACACAGGCUUAGAGAAAGAGUUUUCCCCGUCUUUUGCCAUUGUUACUUUUCCUUAACUCUUGUUCACCCUUUACAUUAAAAUAAAACUUUU
Manis javanica (Malayan pangolin) is the source of this 1144-nucleotide long non-coding RNA. RefSeq lists it as uncharacterized. Lineage: Eukaryota; Metazoa; Chordata; Mammalia; Pholidota; Manidae. The record is from RefSeq and is a predicted model, not a curated record.